GAUGAACGCUGGCGGCGUGCCUAAUACAUGCCAGUCGAGCGAACAGAUGAGGAUCUUGCUCCACUGACGUUAGCGGCGGACGGGUGAGGAACACGUGGAUAACCUACCUAUAAGACUGGGAUAACUUCGGGAAACCGGAGCUAAUACCGGAUAAUAUAUUGAAGCGCAUGGUGCAAUAGUGAAAGACGGUUUUGCUGUCACUUAUAGAUUGAUAUGCGCUGCAUUAGCUAGUUGGUAAGGUAACGGCUUACCAAGACAAGGAGGGGUAGCCGACGGGAGCGGGGGGUAGCCGACCCUGGAGCGGGGCCAGCGUCCAGGCGACUGCGGGAGGGAGCAGUCGGGAACCGUACGCAGUGGGGGAGAAUCUUGCGGAGCGGCGGAGAGCGAGUGAUGAAGGUUCUGGGAUCGUAAAGAUCUGUUAUGGGGGAUGAACAAAUGUCUGCGUAAAUGUGCACAUCUUGACGGUACCUACACAGAAAGCCCCGGCUAACUACGUG
This 497-nucleotide ribosomal RNA is filed under the name uncultured bacterium. Its description in RNAcentral is "partial 16S ribosomal RNA". It matches the Rfam family "Bacterial small subunit ribosomal RNA", at positions 28 to 507 of the family's 1533-position model. The record is from RNAcentral.